UACGGGAGGCAGCAGUGGGGAAUAUUGCACAAUGGGCGCAAGCCUGAUGCAGCCAUGCCGCGUGUAUGAAGAAGGCCUUCGGGUUGUAAAGUACUUUCAGUCGUGAGGAAGGUGUUAAGGUUAAUAACCUUAGCAAUUGACGUUAGCGACAGAAGAAGCACCGGCUAACUCCGUGCCAGCAGCCGCGGUAAUACGGAGGGUGCGAGCGUUAAUCGGAAUUACUGGGCGUAAAGGGCACGCAGGCGGUUAAUUAAGUUGGAUGUGAAAUCCCCGGGCUUAACCUGGGAAUGGCAUUCAAGACUGGUUAGCUAGAGUCUUGUAGAGGGGGUAGAAUUUUCAUGUGUAGCGGUGAAAUGCGUAGAGAUGUGGAGGAAUACCGGUGGCGAAGGCGGCCCCUGGACAAAGACUGACGCUCAUGUGCGAAAGCGUGGGGAGCAAACAGGGAUUAGAUACC
RNAcentral lists this ribosomal RNA (454 nucleotides) under uncultured bacterium. RNAcentral's name for it is "bacterial SSU rRNA". It matches the Rfam family "Bacterial small subunit ribosomal RNA", at positions 340 to 786 of the family's 1533-position model. The record is from RNAcentral.